AUGAACGCUAGCGGCAGGCUUAACACAUGCAAGUCGAGGGGCAGCACGAGUAGCAAUAUUUGGUGGCGACCGGCGCACGGGUGAGUAACGCGUAUGCAAUCUACCUUUAACUGGGGCAUAGCUCCGAGAAAUCGGAAUUAAUACCCCAUAACAUUAAUGAGAGACAUCUCUUAUUAAUUAAAGUUCCAACGGUUAAAGAUGAGCAUGCGUGCCAUUAGCUUGUUGGUAGGGUAACGGCCUACCAAGGCUACGAUGGCUAGGGGGUCUGAGAGGAUGAUCCCCCACACUGGUACUGAGACACGGACCAGACUCCUACGGGAGGCAGCAGUGAGGAAUAUUGGUCAAUGGGCGCAAGCCUGAACCAGCCAUGCCGCGUGAAGGAUGAAUGCCCUAUGGGUUGUAAACUUCUUUUGUAUAGGAAGAAACCUUCUGACGUGUCAGAAGCUGACGGUACUGUACGAAUAAGCAUCGGCUAACUCCGU
Molecule: ribosomal RNA, 482 nt
Filed under: uncultured bacterium
Lineage: Bacteria
Description: bacterial SSU rRNA
Rfam family: Bacterial small subunit ribosomal RNA
Source: RNAcentral